GAUGAACGCUAGCGGCAGGCUUAACACAUGCAAGUCGAGGGGUAACGGGGAUAGCUUGCUAUCUGCCGACGACCGGCGCACGGGUGCGUAACGCGUAUACAAUCUGCCUUGUACUGGGGAAUAGCCUUUGGAAACGAAGAUUAAUGCCCCAUGGUACCAUAUACCGGCAUCGGUUUUAUGGUUAAAGCUUCGGCGGUACGAGAUGAGUAUGCGUCCUAUUAGUUAGUUGGUGAGGUAACGGCUCACCAAGACUUCGAUAGGUAGGGGUCCUGAGAGGGAGAUCCCCCACACUGGUACUGAGACACGGACCAG
Molecule: ribosomal RNA, 312 nt
Filed under: uncultured bacterium
Lineage: Bacteria
Description: bacterial SSU rRNA
Rfam family: Bacterial small subunit ribosomal RNA
Source: RNAcentral